CGGAAAACUGGGGAUAAUACCGGAUAUAUGGAGAUGCCUGGAAUGCACUGUGAUCCAAAGCUUUUGUGCCUAAGGAUGAGUCUGCGGUCUAUCAGGUUGUAGUGGGUGUAACGUACCUACUAGCCUACGACGGAUACGGGUUGUGGGAGCAAGAGCCCGGAGAUGGAUUCUGAGACAUGAAUCCAGGCCCUACGGGGCGCAGCAGGCGCGAAAACUUUACAAUGCAGGAAACUGCGAUAAGGGGACACCGAGUGCUAGCAUCCUAUGUUGGCUGUCCGCAUGUUUAAAUCACAUGUGUUAGCAAGGGCCGGGCAAGACCGGUGCCAGCCGCCGCGGUAAUA
Molecule: ribosomal RNA, 341 nt
Filed under: uncultured archaeon
Lineage: Archaea
Description: partial 16S ribosomal RNA
Rfam family: Archaeal small subunit ribosomal RNA
Source: RNAcentral